RNAcentral lists this microRNA (22 nucleotides) under Bombyx mori (domestic silkworm). RNAcentral describes it as "bmo-miR-2790-5p". The record is from miRBase by way of RNAcentral. Lineage: Eukaryota; Metazoa; Arthropoda; Insecta; Lepidoptera; Bombycidae.
UGGAUAAAGAACAAUUCUUAAA